RNAcentral lists this ribosomal RNA (468 nucleotides) under uncultured bacterium. Its description in RNAcentral is "partial 16S ribosomal RNA". It matches the Rfam family "Bacterial small subunit ribosomal RNA", at positions 28 to 507 of the family's 1533-position model. The record is from RNAcentral.
GACGAACGCUGGCGGCGUGCUUAACACAUGCAAGUCGAACGGAAAGGCCCUGCUUGCAGGGUGCUCGAGUGGCGAACGGGUGAGUAACACGUGGGUGAUCUACCCCUUACUUUGGGAUAAGCCUGGGAAACUGGGUCUAAUACUGGAUAGGACCAUGCUGUAGGUGGUGUGGUGGAAAGAUUAGUUUCGGUAAGGGAUGAGCUCGCGGCCUAUCAGCUUGUUGGUGGGGUAAUGGCCUACCAAGGCGUCGACGGGUAGCCGGCCUGAGAGGGUGGACGGCCACAUUGGGACUGAGAUACGGCCCAGACUCCUACGGGAGGCAGCAGUGGGGAAUAUUGCACAAUGGGCGCAAGCCUGAUGCAGCGACGCCGCGUGGGGGAUGACGGCCUUCGGGUUGUAAACUCCUUUCAGCCAUGACGAAGCCUUCGGGUGACGGUAGUGGUAGAAGAAGCACCGGCUAACUACGUG